AGCGGGAAGUGGCCGGCCGGGUUCCUGGGUUAGUAAGCGCGGGGACGCCCGCCGCGGUGGGUGUUUCACGCUGGGGCGUUCGGAUAGAGGGAAUGGAGCCGAGCACGCAGAGGCUCGCUGCUCACCGUGGCGGCGCCCCGGGCCCGCCCCUGAGGCUGGCUUUGCUCCCCACCCCGCUGCGCCCCUUCCCUCCUUGCGGCCUCGUUACUGACGCUCACCCCGCCUGGCCCUGCCGUGCGGCCCGGCCUGGACACUGUAGGAUGGUCAGCAGCUCGCCGGUCUCUGCGUCCGCUUAGAUCUGAGCUUCGGCCCGGCCAGCCCUAGUGUGACAACCAGAAGCGUCCCCAGACAUUGCUAAAGGACCCCCGGGGUUCACUUGUGCCAUUGAGAGCCAAGGACUUAAGAUAACCAGGCUGCAGCCUGUCUCAGCCUUCUAAGAGGCCACCCCGGACCACGCGAGGUCACCCUGCUGGCAUCUCAAGGCCCAGCCGUCGUCCUACAAGGCCUGUUGGGCCAGCCGGUCAAAGGUGCCGGCUCCGUGGUGGCAGAGUUCUAAGGCGUCCUCCUCACCGUGCCACAGCCCGUAGGACAGUGCCUGACCCUUCCUGGACUGGCAGAGUAUCUUCCAACAGUGACCCCCAGCAAGGCUUCAGAAACUGAGGUCUGCAGCUCCAGGGAUUCAACGAGUGUAAGACCAGUUCAUCCUUCCUCCAUCCUAGCUCCAGCCAAGACUGGCGUGGAGCCACACCCUGAGAAGGGGGCUGGGCCAGGCGUUCACCGGGAUGAGUAAUCCCGCCAAUAAGGUGAAAGGGGCAUGCACUGUAUUUUUUUAAUGUCUGGUGAAUAGACUGAUUCAUAGCACCGUGCUGGCACACAAGAGGCAGUGCGUGUUUAUUAAAUUCAUGAUGAGAGAAGAGCUAAAUGCCAGAACUGGACCUUCUCCACCUAUUAGUGCUAAUUGUUCAUCGUAUGUCAGCUCAGACGUCACUUUCCUAGCCCUCUUGCACUAAAUCAGCUCCACCUUUUCCUGUGUCAUUCCUUACACAUUUCCAUGUUCUUUAUACAGAUUCUUACACAUUUCUCUCACAACAUCCGUUAUAAUUUAUAAUUGUUUAUUUUGUGGAACUACUUAAUGUCUGUCUCAAAAUUCUUAUUAGUACAUGUUUGCAGUAGAUAAUGCUUACGUUCCUUGUGGGGAGCUGGUACAUGUACAUAACACAUCUUAAUUUUUUUUACGUCCGUUUCCCUUCCCUCUGUCUCUGUCUUUAAAGCUGAAAGGGCUGGAAUCUUACGUGUCUGUUCACUGCCGUACUCCUAGAGUCUAAAAUAGCACCCGCCAAUGAUAACUUUCUGUGAAAUUAACUAAAUGAUCAUUUGUUGGAUUGUAGGUGCUGGGACGACACCUUACAUUUAUAUUAGCAUCCUAGCUCACUAAUUGAAAAAGCAAACCUGAAAGAUUUCUAUCCAGUCACGGGUCUGGCAGGCAGUAGGACUCAGAUAAGAAAAGGUCUUGUGCCUGAUUCUUAGUUCUAGUGUUUUCUCAAUGUUCCCAAGGGAAGGGAGACAGAAUCUUUUUUUUUCCUAAGACUAGAAAGCCUGAAACAGGCAAAUCUAGAAUGAAGUUGACGUUGUGAAGCAUGGAGUAGCUUGCGUCAUGUCCUAACCUGGUGUCCCUGGCUGGCCUUCCUGGAGGAAUACAAACGAACUAUAAAAGUAGUCUCAGCAGAUACUGUGAUCAAAGGAGGAGCAGACUGCUUUCCGUGCGCUUCGAGGCCCUUCUGUUGGAAGCAUCUGGAGGAGGCUCAACAGGGCACCCAGGGCCCUUCCUGUCCCCUCCCCCGGUAAUUACUCCUGCGGAUUCCACAGUGACACAGUUGCCUUCCUACCCUUUUGUAGUACCUGCGUGGGAGAACCACAAAAGACUUCAUCAAAAUGAUCUAAUUAACUAUAAUAUCGUUUAUAGUUUUUCUCAUUUUACAAAUGAAUAAACUGCAGCACUGAAUGGGUAAAGUAAUAAGUCCCAAAAGAUCCGUGGAACUCUCACCCGAUUGAACAGAUGUGUUCCAGAAAAUCUGGAGUGACAUCAGCCCAGCAAAACCUCCUACUGUAACAGCCCUGAUUCCCCUUAAAAAUCAGGAAUGUGCCGGGCGUGGUGGCACACACCUGUAAUCCCAGCACUCGGGAGGCUGA
This is a long non-coding RNA of Chinchilla lanigera (long-tailed chinchilla), 2190 nucleotides long. RefSeq lists it as uncharacterized. The record is from RefSeq and is a predicted model, not a curated record. The transcript has 3 exons. Lineage: Eukaryota; Metazoa; Chordata; Mammalia; Rodentia; Chinchillidae.